GAGGGCAACAAGAAGUUCGAGACCCUCUCCUACCUGCCACCUCUCUCCACGGACGAGGUCCUAAAGCAGAUCGACUACCUGAUCCGGAAGAACUGGAUUCCCUGCCUCGAGUUCAGCAAGAUCGGGUUCGUCUAUCGUGAGAACAGCACGUCUCCCUGUUACUACGACGGGCGCUACUGGACCAUGUGGAAGCUGCCCAUGUUCGGCUGCACCGAGGCCACCCAGGUGUACGCUGAGUUCGAGGAGUGCAAGAAGGCCUACCCCGACUGUUACAUCCGUAUCAUCGGCUUCGACAACAUCAAGCAGGUGCAGUGCGUCAUGUUCAUCGCCUACAAGCCCCCAGGCUCCGAGUAAGACCGGCGGCGCCAAAUAAGCUUAUCGCGCGGACCGCUCGCUCGUGAGCGACCGUGGAUGAAGUGUCUACUCGGUUUUGGCAACUUAAUUAUUUGACGCUCUGUUUAAAGUCGCCUGCUUGUUAAUUCCCUUUCUUUUCGUGUUUCCGUCCUGUGUGUAUGUACGAAUGUACAUGUAUCAACGUAGGCUGAGGAGCAUGCAUAUGUGAAUGCUAGCGCCGGCUAAACUUAUACGCAUACACAUCGUAAUAUAUUGUAUACGCAAUUCCUCCA
This 626-nucleotide long non-coding RNA is filed under the name Setaria viridis. Its description in RNAcentral is "long non-coding RNA (SVIR_LNC003472)". Lineage: Eukaryota; Viridiplantae; Streptophyta; Magnoliopsida; Poales; Poaceae. The record is from RNAcentral.